Molecule: long non-coding RNA, 788 nt
Organism: Phasianus colchicus (ring-necked pheasant)
Lineage: Eukaryota; Metazoa; Chordata; Aves; Galliformes; Phasianidae
Source: RefSeq, a predicted model, not a curated record
CAUCCUGCCAGUGUGAUGCUUGUGCAGGGCCGUGCGUUCUGUCACAUCAAACACUCGCACAUACUCUCUGUUGGGUGUACAUGAAGUGCAGACCUAUAGCACAGGAAGAAAAAAUGUUGUAUUGUCAACGUCUGGUCCAUUUGAUACAAGGGAUGCAGCCACACCUCAGAGAAAAGCACCUUUUGGGGACAACAAACCUGGAAGCAGUAGAAGGAAUCAUCUGUGUUUAGGUGCUAACUUGGAAGCAUUCAGAAACAUUCAACAACUGCUCACCUCUAUGUACAUGUUUCCAUGAAGCUCAGAUAUUGCUGAUCGAGGUAACCCACUUCGCAGGUGCAGCCCAUCACAGUUUUGAGAUACCACAUGCUGCACCUGGAAGAGAACAAAACACUGAAAUAACACACACAGAGAAGACUCUGAAAGCAUGAUUCCAAUGCAGUAUCAGCUGUCUGCUGGGCAGCUCAGAAUUCAUCUCCUGAGUAGCUGCAGAACUGUCCUUCCAGGAAAGAGAAAGGAAAAGUUCACUACAGUCACCUUACCUGAUGCUCCUGCCCUUCUGCAGCAAUGUCCAAAUGCCAUUGGGGCCUCGGUAGUCUGGGAUCGAAGCUGCCUGUGUUGUGAAGAGAGACAAAACAUGGCCUGACGGGAAAGUUCCUACCUCUCGUCCACCAACACAUCAACCUGGCCUCACCCAGGACAGCGAGAUACUGCAUUCACUGCUGCUUUUUCAUUCACUCAAAGUUUUCUAGUGUUUUCCUAAUUACAGAGAGCUCUUUUCCUACCUUGCA